This 253-nucleotide ribosomal RNA is filed under the name uncultured bacterium. RNAcentral's name for it is "partial 16S ribosomal RNA". It matches the Rfam family "Bacterial small subunit ribosomal RNA", at positions 524 to 776 of the family's 1533-position model. The record is from RNAcentral.
UACGUAGGGUGCAAGCGUUGUCCGGAAUUAUUGGGCGUAAAGAGCUUGUAGGCGGUUUGUCGCGUCUGCUGUGAAAUUUCGGGGCUCAACCUCGAACUUGCAGUGGGUACGGGCAGACUAGAGUGUGGUAGGGGAGACUGGAAUUCCUGGUGUAGCGGUGAAAUGCGCAGAUAUCGGGAAGAACACCCGUGGCGAAGGCGGCUCUCUGGGACGGUACUGACGCUGAGACGCGAAAGCGUGGGGAGCGAACAGG